UUACGGCCACAUCACGUUGAAACAUCAGUUCCCGUACGAUUACCGAAUUUAAGCAACGUCUAGCCUGGUCAGUACAUAGAUGGGUGACUACUUGGGAAAGUUG
Acanthosepion pharaonis is the source of this 103-nucleotide non-coding RNA. NCBI's taxonomy places the organism in Eukaryota, Metazoa, Mollusca, Cephalopoda, Sepiida, Sepiidae. The record is from the annotation of a GenBank genome assembly.